RNAcentral lists this ribosomal RNA (470 nucleotides) under uncultured bacterium. Its description in RNAcentral is "bacterial SSU rRNA". It matches the Rfam family "Bacterial small subunit ribosomal RNA", at positions 37 to 518 of the family's 1533-position model. The record is from RNAcentral.
UGGCGGCGUGCUUAACACAUGCAAGUCGAACGGAGAUUACUUUUAGCUUGCUAUUUGUAAUCUUAGUGGCGGACGGGUGAGUAACGCGUGGGUAACCUGCCUUAUACAGGGGGAUAACAGUCGGAAACGACUGCUAAUACCGCAUAAGCGCACAGUAUCGCAUGAUACAGUGUGAAAAGAUUUAUCGGUAUAAGAUGGACCCGCGUCUGAUUAGCUGGUUGGUGAGGUAACGGCCCACCAAGGCGACGAUCAGUAGCCGGCCUGAGAGGGUGAACGGCCACAUUGGGACUGAGACACGGCCCAAACUCCUACGGGAGGCAGCAGUGGGGAAUAUUGCACAAUGGGGGAAACCCUGAUGCAGCGACGCCGCGUGAGUGAAGAAGUAUUUCGGUAUGUAAAGCCCUAUCAGCAGGGAAGAAAAUGACGGUACCUGACUAAGAAGCCCCGGCUAACUACGUGCCAGCCGCCGC